RNAcentral lists this long non-coding RNA (493 nucleotides) under Carica papaya (papaya). RNAcentral's name for it is "long non-coding RNA (CPAP_LNC012144)". The record is from RNAcentral. Lineage: Eukaryota; Viridiplantae; Streptophyta; Magnoliopsida; Brassicales; Caricaceae.
UAAUAACUCAACAACAUCAUAAUCUCAUAUUCAAGUAGACAAGAAUAACAACUUUCCCUUUUUAUUUGCCUACUGGUAUCUAUAGGAGUCCAUAGAGAUGUCAAACUACGUGUAAACUAACAUCCAACCUUAUCAACUAACCGGCCAUUCCCAUAUUCCGUUCGGUAUGAGCGCCAAAAUACUAUUUCUCAAUACCUCAUCCAGUAUGAGGAUGAAACGGGCUGUCCCCAUACCUCGUCCGGUAUGAGCGCGAAAAUAUCAAUUCUUGAUGUCUCGUCCAGUAUGAGAGUGAAACGGACCGUCCCCAUACGUCGUCCGGUAUGAACGCCAAAAUAUCAAUUCUCGAUACCCCGUCCGAUAUGUCGGUGAAACGGGUCAUCCCCAUACUCUGUCCGGUAUAAGCAUCAAAAAUAUCAAUUCUCAAUACUCUGUCUAGUAUAAGGCGACGUUCACGGUAGGGUUUCCUAUGUACUCAGUCCGUCCACCAUCUUUC